ACUAGGCUACUGUCAAUGACUAUAUCGAGGCAGUGAGGGAAGAGGCAGCGAGAUAGUCUGGGUAUGACGUCUAUAGGGAGUCAAAACCACCAGUUGGGACUCCCUCUGAAGACUGAGUGUGACAGAUGUGCAGCAAGAACUCAAUGGGUCUAGAAUAACGCUAAAGCUCCGGGAAGAGCAGACGUUGCCAAAAAUUGGGUCAGGAUGUCGAGAUAUCGAAACUGCUGAGAACCAAGUUCUUUUGGUGUUGAGAACUACCAAUGGCCUUCGUAAAAGACGCACAAUCUAAAAAAGUGGUGUGUUCACUCGGCGCUAAUGAUAUACGUCUCAAAUGUUUCUGCCUUCAUGGCAGGGGAUGUGAGAGAGGUGUGAGCUCUAGGGUCCCUCCCUAAAUAGAAUGCCAAAGGUCGAGAGUAGGUGCAGUAAAGUCAGCCAGCACCUAUAAAGGUCCCGCUAUGUCCAUGGGGCUGACACAGAUUGUUGUCGUGUGGAUUAAUUCAUGACUUGCUCCCAUGUAUUCUUCGUUUGGUUAUGAAGACCUCUUUCUACCCUAGGGUCCUCUAACAGAGAGUAGGGGUGCUUUUAAAGUCUUUCUCUUAGCAUUCGCUUCAAGGUCCUUUCAGGUUCCAGGUCACCUCACAAGAAUGCUUUUUGUCUUUGCUCCUCUUCGUUUGGCUUGAUAUCGCCAAAGAGUAGUAAGGGAACGGAGAAGGGAAAGGUCUGAGGGUUAUCCCUAUGUCGACACGAGUAAAAGACAGUGGGAGAUUACCUUGAGUGUGAAUCUACCGAGUUGCAAAGGAACCACGCAGAGAGGGUGCAAUCAUGAAGGAGGAGGUACCGUAGCUUUUUAUGUAACGGAGUUAAGAUAAACGGGGAACGGUAAUGAAAGAUAACAAGAGAGAUGAGAGUGUUCCCGAAUUCUCGUGCUCGGAAUAUGAUGUGCGAGGGGAGGUGAACACGGGUAGGCGCUAGUAACGAUGAACAGCUUGGAGAAAGUGAUGUGAAGAAACGAAGGGGACACGAAUAUUUUCGAAGAAUCAAAGAUAAAAAGAAUUUAUAAAAUAAUUAAAAGCAAUUUUUUUUUUAAAAAAUGAUGAACUUCCGCAGGUAAAGUCUCUUCGCGAAAACAAACUUAGAAUGAGAAGGAAACGGAAAAGGGUAAAUAAUUGAUUUUUUGUCGAACCGACCCACCGGUGGGUAGGUAGAGUAAAAAAGGACCCUAUUGGAAGACUUGCGAAAAGAGACAAAACAUCUAUCACAUAUCAGAUAAAGUACGAUGCUGAAAACUUAGGCAAACAUUUUGGAAAACCCCGAUAAGAAUGUGAUUUAGGUAGAGAGGAGAGUAUAUGUGCCAUUGGAAAAGUCACUCGGCGUUUCACAAAGUAGAGGAGUAACCAAUGACGAAGGCCCGUAUGGAGAUCUGGAGAGAAUAGAUGUUUAAUUGCAUUGAAGAACACCAUUAAUAAAAAAAUUUUUUUUUUUUUUAUUAUUCUUUUAUUCAGUUUACGAAAAAAAUUAUGUAUGGGGGGGCUCGAAAAACUUGGCUUGCCCUACAUCACAGAGAAAAUUUUAAAACGGAUCAUGAAGUCAGACGUACACAUUGAGAGAAGCUCCUUUCUCUAGGUCAGAAAAGAAGGCGCCAACACACCUGAUUGGAACAGGGGACCGGCGACCGAAACCCCCGGUGAAACGUUCUGUGCCAGAACGUAAACUUUUAAUGAAUCCCAUCAUUAAGUGGUAAUUCAGCAAGCUAUAUUUUGGGAAAUGAGCGGUAGACCAAGAAACCCUAAUGUUUUUUGAAACAUAUACUUGUCGGAUUGUAGUAAUAUUGCAAUAGGACGAUCAUGAUUUUGCACAAAGACGAAACUUUGAGAAAGGCGUUACGAUCUUGGUUGCACUUGACGAACCAUACGGAGAAUAUGAAAGAACGCCUUGGACAGAUAGAAAAAUAGACAUAUUGUAUGCAUUAUAAGAGAAUGCCCCACAGGGAUCAAUUCUAAAUCCCCUUCUUGUGCCAUCAUGGCGUUAAACGCCAACCUAGGGAGAUUAACAGGUAUCGACCUAAAUCGCAAUAGCUCUACUUGGGCGUUUAAAGCCCCCAAUGAGAUAAUUGAGCGUUUGGGCUUUUCCUGCGCAGCUUAGGUGGGGGGCGAAGAAGGCCUCCUUCCGUGGGGGCCCGAGCCAUCAGUGAGAUACCACUCUGGAAGAGCUAGAAUUCUAACCUUGUGCAAGGACCUACGGGCCAAGGGACAGUCUCAGGUAGACAGUUUCUAUGGGGCGUAGGCCUCCAAAAAGGUAACGGAGGCGUGCAAAGGUUCCCUCGGGCCAGACGGAGAUUGGCACUCGAGUGCAAAGGCAGAAGGGAGCUUGACUGCAAGACACACCCGUCGAGCAGGGACGAAAGUCGGCCUUAGUGAUCCGACGGUGCCGAGUGGAAGGGCCGUCGCUCAACGGAUAAAAAUUACUCUAGGGAUAACAGGCUGAUCUUUUCCAAGAGCUCACAUCGACUGGAAGGUUUGGCACCUCGAUGUCGGCGCUUCGCCACCUGGGGCUGUAGUAUGUUCCAAGGGUUGGGCUGUUCGCCCAUUAAAGCGGUACGCGAGCUGGGUUCAGAACGUCAUGAGACAGUUCGGUCCAUAUCCGGUGUGGGCGUUAGAGCAUUGAGAGUACCUUUCCCUAGUACGAGGGGACCGGGAAGGACGCACGUCUGGUGUGCCAGUUACGUGCCCACGGUAAACGCUGGGUAGCCAAGUGCGGAGCGGAUAACUGCUGAAAGCAUCUAAGUAGUAAGCCCACUCCAAGAUGAGUGCUCUCCUAUUCUGACUUCCCCAGAGCCUCCGGUAGCACAGCCGAGACAGCGAUGGGUUCUCUGCCCGUGCGGGGAUGGAGCGAAAGAACUUGAGAUUCAGAGAAGGUCAGGCGGACGAGCCGGUUUCUUCUCAUAACGAUAGGGUUGUCAAGUGGAAGUGCAGUGAUGUAUGCAGCUGAGGCAUCCUAACAGACCGGUAGACUUGAAA
This 3017-nucleotide ribosomal RNA is filed under the name Arachis monticola. RNAcentral's name for it is "bacterial LSU rRNA". The stretch from base 2054 to 3006 matches the Rfam family "Bacterial large subunit ribosomal RNA", at positions 2047 to 2912 of the family's 2925-position model. The record is from RNAcentral. Lineage: Eukaryota; Viridiplantae; Streptophyta; Magnoliopsida; Fabales; Fabaceae.